ACCCGCUGAACUUAAGCAUAUCACUAAGCGGAGGAAAAGAAAUUAACUAAGAUUGCCCCAGUAACAGCGAGUGAAGCGGCAAGAGCCCACAUUGGAAAUCUUCACACUUAGUGUGACGAAUUGUAAUCUUGAGAUUGUGUGCUCACCGGGAAGUGACGCAGAAGUGCCUUAGAAUGGGCCGCCAGAGAGGGUGAUAGCCCCGUAUGUGGUGUCACGUCCUAACGAGUGCGCUUUCGAAGAGUCGGGUUGUUUUGUAUUGCAGCCCCAAGUGGGAGAUAAACUUCUUCUAAGGCUAAAUAUUUAUGGGAAACCGAUAGCGAACAAGUACUGUGAAGGAAAGAUGAAAAGAACUUUGAAAAGAGAGUCAAAAGACUUGAAAUCGUUGAGAAGGAAGCGGUAGAAAUUUAUUCUUCGGCAGUGAGCGAUGGCUGUUGCCGAACCAUCGGCUGUGUGUAGGACUUUCAUAAGCCUGCUGCGGUCGCUUGGGGAAGCGGUUGUUCUGUUCGCUGUCGUCAGGCAAAAUGGGGUCGCUUAUUUGCAGAGGCUGCGCUUGCUUGGGAGUUUUCGGACUUCAGCUGGUGUGUGCUGGUGGAUAAGCGGCCUGAGGGUGCUUCGUGCGAUUUUGCCAAAAUGGUUUUUACCGACCCGUCUUGAAACACGGACCAAGGAGUCUAACAUAUAUGCGAGUGUGCUGGUGGAGAAACCAACACGCGUAAUGAAAGUGAACGAUGCCAAGCGCAAGCAGCAGCAUCGACCGACCAUGAUUCUUUGAUGAAAGGUUUGAGUAAGAGCAUAUCUGUUAGGACCCGAAAGAUGGUGAACUAUGCCUGAGUAGGGUGAAGCCAGGGGAAACUCUGGUGGAGGCUCGUAGCGGUACUGACGUGCAAAUCGUUCGUCGAACUUGGGUAUAGGGGCGAAAGACUAAUCGAACCAUCUAGUAGCUGGUUCCCUCCGAAGUUUCCCUCAGGAUAGCUGGGACAAUUGCGCAGUUUUAUUAGGUAAAGCGAAUGAUUAGAGGCCUCGGGGGUAGAAUAUCCUCGACCUAUUCUCAAACUUUAAAUUGGUAAGAACCUUGGCCUUUCUUAAUUGAGGCACAGGGGCUCAAUGCGUGUCCUUAGUGGGCCAUUUUUGGUAAGCAGAACUGGCGAUGAGGGUUGCUCCUAACGUUGAGUUAAGGUGCCUAACUGCACGCUCAUCAGAUCCUACAAAGGGUGUUGGUUCAUUAAGACAGCAGGACGGUGGCCAUGGAAGUCGGAAUCCGCUAAGGAGUGUGUAACAACUCACCUGCCGAAUGAACUAGCCCCGAAAAUUGAUGGCGCUAAAGCGUGCGACCGAUACUCAACCAUUGUGGCGAGAGAUAGGCUGCAAUGAGUAGGAGGGCGUGAGCGUUGUUGCGAAGCCUAUGGAGUGAUCCUGGGUUGAACAGCGUUUAGUGCAGAUCUUGGUGGUAGUAGCAAUUAUUCAAAUGCGAACUUUGAAGGCCGAAGUGGAGAAGGUUUCCGUGAGAACAGCAAUUGGUCACGGGUUACUCGAUCCUAAGCCACAGGGAAACUUCUUGUAUGGCGAGCUUAUCGUCUUUGGCGAAAGGGAAUGAGGUUAAUAUUCCUCAAGCUGGAUGUGGAUACUGUACGGUAACGUAAAUGAACUCAGAAACGCCGGCAUGAGCCUCUGGAAGAGUUAUCUUUUCUUUUUAACAGGCCAGUGACCUUGAAUCGGAUUACCCGGAGAUAAGGUUACGUGUCUGGAAGAGCACUCUGCCUUUUGGGGUGUCAGGUGCGCUCGUGACGGUCCAUGAAAAUCUGAGUGAGAGAUUUAUUUCACACCAGGUCGUACCCAUAACCGCAUCAGGUCU
RNAcentral lists this ribosomal RNA (1852 nucleotides) under Parabirojimia multinucleata. RNAcentral describes it as "LSU rRNA". It matches the Rfam family "Eukaryotic large subunit ribosomal RNA", at positions 23 to 1866 of the family's 3401-position model. The record is from RNAcentral. Lineage: Eukaryota; Ciliophora; Spirotrichea; Stichotrichida; Parabirojimidae.